CAAUAGCGUAUAUUUAAGUUGUUGCAGUUAAAAAGCUCGUAGUUGGAUUUCGGUUAAGAGCGACCGGUCCGCCGUUUGGUGUGCACUGGUUGGUUUUAACUUCCUGUAGAGGACGUGCUCUGGGUUUAACGACCUGGACUCGGAGUCUACGUGGUUACUUUGAAAAAAUUAGAGUGUUCAAAGCGGGCUUACGCUUGAAUAUUUCAGCAUGGAAUAACACUAUAGGACUCCUGUCCUAUUUCGUUGGUCUCGGGACGGGAGUAAUGAUUAAGAGGAACAGUUGGGGGGCAUUCGUAUUUCAUUGUCAGAGGUGAAAUUCUUGGAUUUAUGAAAGACGAACUUCUGCGAAAGCAUUUGCCAAGGAUGUUUUCAUUAA
Molecule: ribosomal RNA, 376 nt
Filed under: uncultured eukaryote
Lineage: Eukaryota
Description: partial 18S ribosomal RNA
Rfam family: Eukaryotic small subunit ribosomal RNA
Source: RNAcentral